AUUGAACGCUGGCGGCAGGCCUAACACAUGCAAGUCGAACGAGUGGCGGACGGGUGAGUAAUGUCUGGGAAACUGCCUGAUGGAGGGGGAUAACUACUGGAAACGGUAGCUAAUACCACAUACCAUCAGAUGUGCCCAGAUGAGAUUAGCUUGUUGGUGGGGUAACGGCUCACCAAGGCGACGAUCCCUAUCUGGUCGGAGAGGAUGACCAGCACCACUGGAAUUGAGACACGGUCCAGACUCCUACGGGAGGCAGCAGGGGGGAAUAUUGCACAAUGGGCGCAAGCCUGAGGCAGCCAUGCCGCGUGUAUGAAGAAGGCCUUCGGGUUGUAAAUUACUUUCAGCGGGGAGGCGUUACCCGCAGAAGAAGCACCGGCUAACUCCGUGCCAGCAGCCGCGGUAAUAC
Molecule: ribosomal RNA, 406 nt
Filed under: uncultured bacterium
Lineage: Bacteria
Description: partial 16S ribosomal RNA
Rfam family: Bacterial small subunit ribosomal RNA
Source: RNAcentral